CUACGGGGUGCACCAGUGGGGAAUAUUGGACAAUGGGGGCAACCCUGAUCCAGCCAUGCCGCGUGUGUGAAGAAGGCCUUAGGGUUGUAAAGCACUUUCAGUGGUGAGGAAGGGUGUGCAGUUAAUACCUGUAUAUCUUGACGUUAGCCACAGAAGAAGCACCGGCUAACUCUGUGCCAGCAGCCGCGGUAAUACAGAGGGUGCGAGCGUUAAUCGGAAUUACUGGGCGUAAAGCGCGCGUAGGUGGUUUGUUAAGUCGGAUGUGAAAUCCCCGGGCUCAACCUGGGAACUGCACCCGAUACUGGCAGGCUAGAGAACGAUAGAGGGGUGUGGAAUUUCCUGUGUAGCGGUGAAAUGCGUAGAUAUAGGAAGGAACAUCAGUGGCGAAGGCGACACCCUGGAUUGAUACUGACACUGAGGUGCGAAAGCGUGGGGAGCAAACAGGAUUAGAUACCCCAGUAGUC
Molecule: ribosomal RNA, 464 nt
Filed under: uncultured bacterium
Lineage: Bacteria
Description: partial 16S ribosomal RNA
Rfam family: Bacterial small subunit ribosomal RNA
Source: RNAcentral